GUGUCAGCCGCCGCGGUAAGACAGAGGGUGCGAGCGUUGUUCGGAAUUACUGGGCGUAAAGGGCGCGUAGGCGGUCUGUUAAGUUCGGUGUGAAAGCCCUCGGCUCACCCGAGGAAGUGCGCCGGAUACUGGCAGACUUGAGUACCGGAGAGGAGGGUGGAAUUCCUGGUGUAGCGGUGAAAUGCGUAGAUAUCAGGAGGAACACCGGUGGCGAAGGCGGCCCUCUGGACGAGUACUGACGCUGAGGCGCGAAAGCGUGGGGAUCAAACAGGAUUAGAAACCCCUGUAGUCC
Molecule: ribosomal RNA, 292 nt
Filed under: uncultured bacterium
Lineage: Bacteria
Description: partial 16S ribosomal RNA
Rfam family: Bacterial small subunit ribosomal RNA
Source: RNAcentral